UACGUAGGUGGCAAGCGUUGUCCGGAUUUAUUGGGCGUAAAGGGAGCGCAGGCGGUGACUUAAGUCUGAUGUGAAAGCCCACGGCUCAACCGUGGAAGGUCAUUGGAAACUGGGUCACUUGAAUAUAGAAGAGGAAAGUGGAAUUCCAUGUGUAGCGGUGAAAUGCGUAGAUAUAUGGAGGAACACCAGUGGCGAAGGCGACUUUCUGGUCUGUAACUGACACUGAGGCUCGAAAGCGUGGGGAGCGAACAGGAUUAGAUACCCU
This 265-nucleotide ribosomal RNA is filed under the name uncultured prokaryote. Its description in RNAcentral is "partial 16S ribosomal RNA". It matches the Rfam family "Bacterial small subunit ribosomal RNA", at positions 524 to 788 of the family's 1533-position model. The record is from RNAcentral.